UUCAACGCCCUUUCUUGCUGCAAAUAUUUGGGUUUUUAGGGUUCUUACAAUUUCUUGAUUUUGUAUUCAUUGAUUGAAGAAUCACGAUGUUAUUAUCGCAUCGGCGUCGUAGCCCAGGCUAUGGGGGAAUUCUUGGUCAGGUGAUUGUUGCCUGUCAUCAGUCACUUGCAAGUAAGUGUUUGUGGACAUAUGUCCACUUUGGAAUAAAAGAAAUAAAAUUUGGGUUUUGCUGACUCCUACUUAAGCAAAUAACAAAUACAUCACUCUUCAAAUACACCAGCUUUUGAUGUUUUUUUUUGCAUGGAAAGCAAGUGCAAAUGGAAAUCAUCUGUAGGAGCUAACUUUUGGACCUUCAGAUUACAGUACAAAAGUAUAUUGAAUUUCCGUGUGAUGACUCAGUCAUCCGGGGAAAAUAUGUGCUUGAGGUGGUGACAUCUGGCGGUUAAUGUCUCAACAAUCAGUGCUUUUCAAGAAGCAAUUCAUCAUACCUCGAUCGAAUCAGAGGCUAGAGAAAUUCUUUGGUUCAUGGAGCAUCUAGCAUGGGAGGAAGUGUUGCAGCAUCCGCAGAAGAUUGGCGAAAGGCUCUUGACAAGGUGGUUCCCGCCGUCAUAGUUCUCCGGACCAAUGCUUGCCAAGCAUUCAACACCGAGGCUGCUGGUGCAAGUUAUGCUACGGGCUUCGCCGAUUUUCUCUAUGGUGCAUAUAUAAUACCUGCAAUAUAAGAAGGAAGAAGCAAAGAGAAAGGAGGAACCCCGAUAAUAUGUAUCUCAAUUUUAUACAGACAUCCUGUGGCCAUAACUUACGUUUGAAGUGCUUCCAAAAAUGGAUUGGACAAGGCAAGGAUACAAGAGUCAAAUGCCGCAGUCAAAUUAGUCGCCAAAUGAUUAAUCAAUCAACCACAAAUAGACUCGGCACUGGUGACUGCAUAAAAGUGAUGCUUUUACAAGUCCUCAAGUAGCAUGUCCUCAGGUGAAUCAAGAAGAUCACCCUGACAACCCGUUUAUUAGGGAAGGAGCAGCUAUAUAAAAGAGCUGGAAUGGAUAUUGCAUCAAGCGGGAGGAUAUUUGUGACACUGAGCCCCAAUAUUUUAACAGAAAAAUUUAAUUCUUGGAUCCACCCUGGUAUACUGGUGAAUCAAGUAGAUCACCCUGAUAACCGUUUAUUAGGGCAGGAGGGGCUAUAUAAAAGAGCUGGAAUGGUUAAUGCAUCAAGCGGGAGGAUAUUUGUGACCAUCCCUUCGGAUCAUUUCGGGCCAAUAUUGGUGGAGAAUGAUCUGGAGAGAAAUCAAGGUGUUUUUGUUGGAGAAUUGUGGACACAUCACUUGAAUUGCAGGAAAUGGGGUGUGCAUUGGCCCCAUGUUACUGGAAUUGCAGGACACGCAAUCUAUGGUGCUCUCAGGUGGUUAUGAAGAUGAUGAGGAUCAUGGAGAAUGGAUUCUCUACAGAGGAAAGCAUCCUGUGGCCAUAACCUACAUUUGAAGUUCUUCCAAAAAUGGAUUGGACAAGGCAAGGAUACAAGAGUCAAAUGCCGCAGUCAAAUUAGUCGCCAAAUGAUUAAUCAAUCAACCACAAAUAGACUCGGCACUGGUGACUGCAUAAAAGUAUGCUCCUACAAGGCCUCAAGUGGCAUGUCCUCAGGUGAAUCAAGAAGAUCACCCUGACAACCCGUUUAUUAGGGAAGGAGCAGCUAUAUAAAAGAGCUGGAAUGCAUAAUGCAUCAAGCGGGAGGAUAUUUGUGACACUGAGCCCCAAUAUUUUAACAGAAAAAUUUAAUUCUUGGAUCCACCCUUGUAUAUUGGCGAAUCAAAUAGAUCACCCUGAUAACCCGUUUAUUAGGGAAGGAGGGGCUAUAUAAAAGAGCUGGAAUGGUUAAUGCAUCAAGCGGGAGGAUAUUUGUGACCAUCCCUUCGGAUCAUUUCGGGCCAAUAUUGGUGGAGAAUGAUCUGGAGAGAAAUCAAGGUGUUUUUGUUGGAGAAUUGUGGACACAUCACUUGAAUUGCAGGAAAUGGGGUGUGCAUUGGCCCCAUGUUACUGGAAUUGCAGGACACGCAAUCUAUGGUGCUCUCAGGUGGUUAUGAAGAUCAUGAGGAUCAUGGAGAAUGGUUUCUCUACAGAGGAAAGUACGUGUUAAUUAUCCCUUCAUAGAUGAAUUUUCAAUAUUUCUGGUUAGUUUUGAAGGUUCUGGAAUAAUGUCUUUGCUCAGGCAUGUCAUCAGGUACUUGCAACUUGCAAGUAAGUGCUUGUGGACAUUUUGAUUUUUGAGGUGUUUUUGCAUGGAAAGCAAGUGAAAAUGGAAAUCAUCUGCAGGAACAAGCUUUUGGACCUUAAAAUUGCAGUACUAAGCAUAUAGAAUUUUUGUAUGAUGACUUAGUUACACGAUGGCUCAACAAUCGGUGCUGCUCAAGAAGCAAUUCACAGUAUCACCGAUCAAGCAAUACCAUAACCGAACCAGAGGCUAGGGAAAUUCUUGGUUCACGGAGCCUUCGCCAUUGCAUCCUGCUGUUUUUGGACUGGUAUUGGAGUGCCUUGCUCAUGAAUUCGUCUCUUUAUCAAUUUUUUCGAUGAGGUAAUGUUACCUCAUUUAAGGGAAAUGCAAAGACUUGGGAGUUUUCAUCUUCAAAUGAAGGUUUACAAAAGCA
Solanum stenotomum is the source of this 2638-nucleotide long non-coding RNA. RefSeq lists it as uncharacterized. The transcript is spliced from 9 exons. Lineage: Eukaryota; Viridiplantae; Streptophyta; Magnoliopsida; Solanales; Solanaceae. The record is from RefSeq and is a predicted model, not a curated record.